GCAGGCGUAGCCAAGCGGUAAGGCAAGAGGCUGCAACCCUCUCAUGCGCAAGUUCAAAUCUUGCCGCCUGCUCCA
Molecule: transfer RNA, 75 nt
Filed under: Nanobdellota archaeon
Lineage: Archaea; Nanobdellati; Nanobdellota
Also listed under: 1 other name
Description: tRNA-Cys
Rfam family: tRNA
About the family: Transfer RNA (tRNA) molecules are approximately 80 nucleotides in length. Their secondary structure includes four short double-helical elements and three loops (D, anti-codon, and T loops). Further hydrogen bonds mediate the characteristic L-shaped molecular structure. tRNAs have two regions of fundamental functional importance: the anti-codon, which is responsible for specific mRNA codon recognition, and the 3' end, to which the tRNAs corresponding amino acid is attached (by aminoacyl-tRNA synthetases). tRNAs cope with the degeneracy of the genetic code in two manners: having more than one tRNA (with a specific anti-codon) for a particular amino acid; and 'wobble' base-pairing, i.e. permitting non-standard base-pairing at the 3rd anti-codon position.
Source: RNAcentral